GACGAACGCUGGCGGCGUGCUUAACACAUGCAAGUCGAGCGGCAAGGCCCUUUCGGGGGUACACGAGCGGCGAACGGGUGAGUAACACGUGGGUGACCUGCCCUCAGCUCUGGGAUAAGCCCGGGAAACUGGGUCUAAUACCGGAUAUGACUUCAUGACGCAUGUUGUGGAGUGGAAAGCCUUGUGCGGCUGAGGAUGGGCCCGCGGCCUAUCAGCUUGUUGGGGGGUGAU
RNAcentral lists this ribosomal RNA (231 nucleotides) under uncultured bacterium. Its description in RNAcentral is "partial 16S ribosomal RNA". It matches the Rfam family "Bacterial small subunit ribosomal RNA", at positions 28 to 260 of the family's 1533-position model. The record is from RNAcentral.